RNAcentral lists this non-coding RNA (46 nucleotides) under Schistosoma bovis. RNAcentral also lists the same sequence under 1 other name. Lineage: Eukaryota; Metazoa; Platyhelminthes; Trematoda; Strigeidida; Schistosomatidae. The record is from RNAcentral.
GCACUGCUGAGGAGUCCCACAAUAGGACAAAACAGCGGUCCAGUGC